This 311-nucleotide unclassified non-coding RNA is filed under the name plant metagenome. Its description in RNAcentral is "partial contains 5.8S ribosomal RNA, internal transcribed spacer 2, and large subunit ribosomal RNA". The stretch from base 1 to 105 matches the Rfam family "5.8S ribosomal RNA", at positions 50 to 154 of the family's 154-position model. The record is from RNAcentral.
GAAAUGCGAUACGUAGUGUGAAUUGCAGAAUUCAGUGAAUCAUCGAAUCUUUGAACGCACAUUGCGCCCUUUGGUAUUCCAAAGGGCAUGCCUGUUCGAGCGUCAUUUGUACCCUCAAGCUUUGCUUGGUGUUGGGCGUUUUUGUCUUUGGCCCGCCAAAGACUCGCCUUAAAAUGAUUGGCAGCCUGCCUACUGGUUUCGCAGCGCAGCACAUUUUUGCGCUUGCAAUCAGCAAAAGAGGACGGCAAUCCAUCAAGACUCCUUCUCACGUUUGACCUCGGAUCAGGUAGGGAUACCCGCUGAACUUCAGC